GAUGACCUUCGAUGAUUCAAAGAAUAGAUCGAAAGUGAAAGACAAUGAAAUAUGCAAGAAGGAGAAGGAUCAAAGGAUAUAGCAGCCAGUUCAGCAAGAAAAUCAGAGGAAAUGAUCCCAAUAGAUUGCAAAUAGAAGUGGCAAAAAAGGCAAAUCAUUGAACACAAAUUCUAAAAUGAGUUGCAGGAACUUCGUGAUCCAGAAUAUGAAUGAGAGAUGGCACUCAAGAUUUCACAGAUGAGGUGCAUCACAGCAAUGACAAAUACAGAAAAAGGAAAGAGAAGGAAAAGAAAAGCGGCCUCUCUCUCUUCACUCUACAAUCAUUAUAGAGAGAAGAUAACAUUGCAAGCAUGGGCGGCUACAAUCAAGACAAAGGUAUGUAAUUCUUUCUUUUCAAGCUAUGUCCUAUAUCUAUAUUUGACAACAUAGUCAUAUCUAACUUACAUGAGCAUAAUGUUGAUGAGGUAUUAGAGAUUAUAAGAGUCAGAUUUCAAAUACAA
This is a non-coding RNA of Salvia hispanica, 500 nucleotides long. The record is from RefSeq and is a predicted model, not a curated record. NCBI's taxonomy places the organism in Eukaryota, Viridiplantae, Streptophyta, Magnoliopsida, Lamiales, Lamiaceae.